CACGUAGGGGGCAAGCGUUGUCCGGAUUCAUUGGGCGUAAAGAGCUCGUAGGCGGUUCGAUAAGUCGGGUGUGAAACCUCCAGGCUCAACCUGGAGACGCCACCCGAUACUGUCGUGACUAGAGUCCAGUAGGGGAGCGUGGAAUUCCUGGUGUAGCGGUGAAAUGCGCAGAUAUCAGGAGGAACACCAGCGGCGAAGGCGGCGCUCUGGGCUGGAACUGACGCUGAGAUGCGAAAGCGUGGGGAGCAAACAGG
RNAcentral lists this ribosomal RNA (254 nucleotides) under uncultured bacterium. RNAcentral describes it as "partial 16S ribosomal RNA". It matches the Rfam family "Bacterial small subunit ribosomal RNA", at positions 524 to 776 of the family's 1533-position model. The record is from RNAcentral.